This 465-nucleotide ribosomal RNA is filed under the name uncultured bacterium. RNAcentral's name for it is "partial 16S ribosomal RNA". It matches the Rfam family "Bacterial small subunit ribosomal RNA", at positions 28 to 507 of the family's 1533-position model. The record is from RNAcentral.
GACGAACGCUGGCGGCGUGCUUAACACAUGCAAGUCGUACGGUAAGGCCCUUUCGGGGGUACAUGAGUGGCGAACGGGUGAGUAACACGUGAGUAACCCGCCCACAACUUUGGGAUAACGCUAGGAAACUGGUGCUAAUACUGGAUAUGUGCCCCUGCUGCAUGGUGGGGGUUGGAAAGCUCCGGCGGUUGUGGAUGGACUCGCGGCCUAUCAGCUUGUUGGUGGGGUAGUGGCCUACCAAGGCGGCGACGGGUAGCCGGCCUGAGAGGGUGACCGGCCACAUUGGGACUGAGAUACGGCCCAGACUCCUACGGGAGGCAGCAGUGGGGAAUAUUGCACAAUGGGCGCAAGCCUGAUGCAGCAACGCCGCGUGCGGGAUGACGGCCUUCGGGUUGUAAACCGCUUUCAGCAGGGACGAAGCUUUUUGUGACGGUACCUGCAGAAGAAGCACCGGCUAACUACGUG